Molecule: ribosomal RNA, 494 nt
Filed under: uncultured bacterium
Lineage: Bacteria
Description: partial 16S ribosomal RNA
Rfam family: Bacterial small subunit ribosomal RNA
Source: RNAcentral
GACGAACGCUGGCGGCGUGCUUAACACAUGCAAGUCGAACGGAAAGGCCUGCUUUCCCUUGUGGAUUGCGGGUCCUCGAGCGGCGAACGGGUGAGUAACACGUGAGUUAUCUGUCCGCAACUUGGGUAUAAGCCUGGGAUACUGGGUCUAAUCCCCGAAAGGACUGCAGGGUGGAGGCGGUGGUGGAAAACGACUCUCUUGUGGUUGGGGAUGGGCUCGUGGCCUGUGAGCUGGUUGGAGGGGUAACGGCAGACCAAGGCGGGGACGGGGAGCGGGAGUGGGAGGAUGGACAGUGGCAUUGAGACAGGGACACGGCCCAGACGGCUGCGAGAGGCAGCAGUGGGUGGUAUUGCACAAUGGGCGGGAGCCUGAUGCAGCGAGUCCGCGUAGAGGAUGUCGGCGUUCGGGUUGUAAACUGCUUGCGAACGAGAGGAAGCCACCUGGUUGGAAGGGUGGUGACGGUAGUGGUAGAAGAAGCACCGGCUAACUACGUG